UGAGAGUGGCGAACGGGUGAGUAAUGCGUGACCGACCUGCCCCAUACACCGGAAUAGCUCCUGGAAACGGGUGGUAAUGCCGGAUGCUCCGGUUGGAUGCAUGUCCUUCCGGGAAAGAUUCUAUCGGUAUGGGAUGGGGUCGCGUCCUAUCAGCUUGAUGGCGGGGUAACGGCCCACCAUGGCUUCGACGGGUAGCCGGCCUGAGAGGGCGACCGGCCACAUUGGGACUGAGAUACGGCCCAGACUCCUACGGGAGGCAGCAGUGGGGAAUAUUGCACAAUGGGCGCAAGCCUGAUGCAGCGACGCCGCGUGCGGGAUGGAGGCCUUCGGGUUGUAAACCGCUUUUGAUCGGGAGCAAGCCCUUCGGGGUGAGUGUACCUUUCGAAUAAGCACCGGCUAACUACGUGCCAGCAGCCGCGGUAAUACGUAGGGUGCAAGCGUUAUCCGGAAUUAUUGGGCGUAAAGGGCUCGUAGGCGGUUCGUCGCGUCCGGUGUGAAAGCCCAUCGCUUAACGGUGGGUCUGCGCCGGGUACGGGCGGGCUGGAGUGCGGUAGGGGAGACUGGAAUUCCCGGUGUAACGGUGGAAUGUGUAGAUAUCGGGAAGAACACCAAUGGCGAAGGCAGGUCUCUGGGCCGUCACUGACGCUGAGGAGCGAAAGCGUGGGGAGCGAACAGGAUUAGAUACCCUGGUAGUCCACGCCGUAAACGGUGGAUGCUGGAUGUGGGGCCCGUUCCACG
This 738-nucleotide ribosomal RNA is filed under the name uncultured bacterium. RNAcentral's name for it is "bacterial SSU rRNA". It matches the Rfam family "Bacterial small subunit ribosomal RNA", at positions 90 to 845 of the family's 1533-position model. The record is from RNAcentral.